Podarcis raffonei (Aeolian wall lizard) is the source of this 2583-nucleotide RNA transcript. It is a transcript of the gene named cyclin B2, with no coding region annotated. The transcript is spliced from 9 exons. NCBI's taxonomy places the organism in Eukaryota, Metazoa, Chordata, Lepidosauria, Squamata, Lacertidae. The record is from RefSeq and is a predicted model, not a curated record.
AGAGUGCCGCCCCUGGCCGCCUCCCCUGCUGGGCCAAAAAGCCGCCCUUGGCCUGACUGUCGUUUUUGUGCCUUCGGAACGCGCUGCCCCUUGAAGAGCGACCGGCGCUGGUCACGUAUUGUUGUUGGGUGUAGAGAAAUUUCCAUUUGACAGACUUUCGCAGAAGGUCGAGUUUCCCUCUAGGACUGGCUCUCUGUGCCCGCUAGUGGCAUUUUCCUUGUAAACCCCUGGGGCCUUCUGUAAUAUCUAGCUGCUUAUAAAUGAUUCCAAGGGGGCGAAUAUGGUGCUCUGCUGCAAAGUCUUUCUCAAAACAGAGGCAUUAAAAUUAGAGGACCCAGCAUAGUCAUGUUCAUAAAUUUAAGUGGGUUUACUCUCAGUAAAACGUGGUUUCCACUGUUCUCUCCUCCACCCCUCCUCCUUUGGAGAUCCCUCAUAGCCAAGUAAGAUUGUCUUCCAUGAACACGGUUUUAACAGUGAGUCCAUAAGUGACUGUGGAGGCCAGUUCUGGAUCCACACAUCCUUCCACAGGGGGGACAUAGGUUUCUGGGCAAGAGUUGAUCACAGUGAGGGUUUGCCUUCCUCUGAGCUUGUUUCUCCCUUUCAUCCAGAGUUCUAGUCCAUGACACUUUUGAUAAAGGCUGUUCUCCAACUGAAGCGCUCGCAGGCCAGUGUUUCUCAAUCACCUGUGCUUAUACUGCAUUUUUAAAGAUUUGCCUUGAGAGAAUCUUUAAUGCUCUUUUGUUGACUACCAGCAUUACGCUUUCCAUUUCUAAGUUCGGAAUAGAGUAGUUGCUUUGGAAGGCAAUAAUCGGGCAUCUGAACAACAUGACUAGUCCAAAGAAGUUGAUGUUGAAGAAUCAUUGCUUCAACACUGGUGAUCUUUGCUUCUUCCAGUACACUGGCAUUAGUUCACCUGUUUUCCCAAGUGAAGUGUAAUUUUUUUCAGACACCACUGAUGAAAUCUUUCAAGUAGUUGGAGUUGGCAUUUUUAAGUGGUCCAUGUUUCACAAGUGUACAGUAAAGUUGGUAGUACAAUAGCUUUGCAAACAAGCAUUUUGCUUUCCCUGCAAACGUCCUGAUUCUCGUACACUCUGCACUUCAAUUGGGAGAAAGCUGCACUCACAGAGCUCAGGCAAUGCUGGAUUUUGGCAUCAGUGUCAGCCCUUGCGGAAAGAUAACUGCCCAGAUGCUAAACCAUCUGAAGAAAGACAUGACAGUAGAUCAUGGCAAGACCCGCAGCCUGUUGAAUGGUUCACGGGGACCUUUGCAAGAAAUCAGCAACAGGAUGGUGACCCAAAGACCCAAAGGAUUCAAGGAUCCCAAUUCAUUCUCUAUGGAAGUGGAAUUGUGCCAAGCCUUUUCUGAGAUGCUGCGGGGCAAUAUAGAAGAUAUUGAUGCUGGUGACAGGGAGGACCCCCAGAUGUGCAGUGACUACGUGAAGGAUAUCUACCAGUACCUGAGGCAACUGGAGGUCCAGCAGCGUGUCUUUCCCUUCUACCUUGAUGGCACAGAGAUCAAUGGGCGGAUGCGGGCCAUUCUUGUUGACUGGCUGAUCCAGCUCCAUGCAAGGUUCCAACUUAUGCAGGACACUCUCUACAUGUGUGUGGCCAUCAUAGAUCGCUUCUUGCAAGCUCAGCCUGUCUCCCGCAAGGAACUCCAGUUGGUCGGUGUUACUGCGAUGCUUCUGGCUGCAAAAUAUGAAGAGAUCUAUCCACCAAGUAUUUUGGAUUUUGUCUACAUGACCGACCGAGCAUACACACCGACUCAGAUCCGGGCAACGGAGCAGAAGAUCCUUAAGGAGCUUAACUUUGCCUUAGGAAGACCGCUACCACUCCACUUCCUGAGGCGAAUAGCCAAAGUUUCUGAUGCAUCUGCUGAAUCGUACCUGCUAGCAAAGUACCUGAUGGAACUGACCCUUUUGGACUACAAUAUGGUGCAUUAUAAUCCUUCAGAGGUUGCAGCUGCAGCAAUUUGUCUGUCUCAGAAGGUCUUCUCAGAAGGCCAGUGGAACCCCAAGCUGUGCUAUUAUACUGGAUAUGAAGAGGAGAGUCUUACCCCUGUGAUGGAGCACAUGGCCAAGAAUGUUGUCAGAGUCAACAGGAAUCUAACAAAACACCUUGCUGUCAAGAACAAAUAUUCUAGCAGCAAAUUCCUGAGGAUCAGCACUAUCCCUCAGCUGAACUCCAGCAGCAUUAAAGACUUUGCAGCGCCUUUGCUGGGUGAAGCCAGGCAGCUGAUGUGAGCACUGCCCAAUCAUUACAUGGAAGAAAAUAAGCUGUUUUUGGAUGUGGCCUUCUGGAGGUCUUUUUAAGGCAUCUGUCAUGGUGGAAGGACCUAAUGCUGUACAAAGCGAAGGGUGGCUGGAGCUGGCCCCAUCUGCAGGCCCCUCAGGACAAGGCAAGGUUGGUGCAGAGUCUGGCAGGCUCUUGGCCACGGAGGAUGGGCCAGCAGCCAUAAGAUGCAGAGCAAGCGGAACCUGCCACAUCCUACCGACCACCUUGAUGAGACAUCCAGGGGUUGAAUGUGUCUUGGUGCCCCUGUGUACAAAGCAGCUACUCUGCCACUACGCUGCGGUUCCUUUCU